RNAcentral lists this ribosomal RNA (452 nucleotides) under uncultured bacterium. RNAcentral describes it as "partial 16S ribosomal RNA". It matches the Rfam family "Bacterial small subunit ribosomal RNA", at positions 29 to 523 of the family's 1533-position model. The record is from RNAcentral.
AACGAACGCUGGCGGCAGGCUUAACACAUGCAAGUCGAACGGGUGCAGCAAUGCAUCAGUGGCAGACGGGUGAGUAACACGUGGGAACCUUCCUAGGGGUACGGAACAACUCAGGGAAACUUGAGCUAAUACCGUAUACGUCCGUGAGGAGAAAGAUUUAUCGCCCUUAGCACGGGCCCGCGUCGGAUUAGCUAGUUGGUGGGGUAACGGCCUACCAAGGCGACGAUCCGUAGCUGAUCUUAGAGGAUGAUCAGCCACACUGGGACUGAGACACGGCCCAGACUCCAACGGGAGGCAGCGGGGGGGAAUCUUGGACAAUGGGCGAAAGCCUGACCCAGCCAUGCCGCGUGGGUGAAAAAGGUCUCCGGAUUGAAAAGCUCUUUUGCCAGGGACGAUAAUGACGGUACCGGGAGAAUAAGCCCCGGCAAACUUGGUGCCAGCCGCCGCGGUAA